AACGAACGCUGGCGGCAUGCCUAACACAUGCAAGUCGAACGAGACCUUCGGGUUUAGUGGCGCACGUGUGCGUAACGCGGGGGAACCUGCCCUUAGGUUCGGAAUAACUCCCCGAGAGGGGUGCUAAUACCGGAUAAUGUCUUCGGACCAAAGAUUUAUCGCCUUUGGAUGGGCCCGCGUUGGUUUAGCCAGUUGGUAGGGUAAAAGCCUACCAAGGCGACGAUCCAUAGCUAGUCUGAGAGCAUGAUCAGCCACAAUGGGACUGCGACACGGCCCCGUCCCCUACGGGAGGCAGCAGUAGGGUAUAUUGGGCGCUGGGCGAAAGCCCAGUCAAGCAACGCCGGGUAAGUGGUGAAGGCCUUAGGGUUGUAAAGCCCUUUUACACGGGAUGAUAAUGACGGUACCGGGAGAAUAAGCUCCGGCUAACUCCGUG
RNAcentral lists this ribosomal RNA (433 nucleotides) under uncultured bacterium. Its description in RNAcentral is "partial 16S ribosomal RNA". It matches the Rfam family "Bacterial small subunit ribosomal RNA", at positions 29 to 507 of the family's 1533-position model. The record is from RNAcentral.